This is a long non-coding RNA of Malus domestica (apple), 667 nucleotides long. RefSeq lists it as uncharacterized. NCBI's taxonomy places the organism in Eukaryota, Viridiplantae, Streptophyta, Magnoliopsida, Rosales, Rosaceae. The record is from RefSeq and is a predicted model, not a curated record.
AUAUGCUCUUUUGGAUGCAGAUGGUGACGACGACGAUGAUGGAGGUAGAUCAUCUGUUCCUGUUGUUUCAGAGUCAAGGAAACCAGAUUCCCAUAAGAAGCGGUAUAGGAAGAAGAUUUUGAGUCAAGAAGAUGACAAUGAUGAGCUGAUUGCACAGAGAGGAAGAAAAGAGAAGGGUAAAUAUGAUGGGCCAAGUUGUGGAUGCGGGUGCCUUCAAUCUUGAUGGGGUCACUAUUUCGUUUGCUGAAGCGAUGGGCUUAAAAAGAAGGAUUCAAGUUUGCUCGGUCCAAGGGCCUCCAAAAGGUGAUGAUAAGAGGGAGACUCCAAGCUUGUUAUUGAGGCGGUUCAAAGAAAUUGGGAGGUUCCUUGGAAGAUUAGAACCAUCAUUGAGGAUGCACGUGGUAUUGCUUGCUCCUUUUAGUCAAGUGGCGUGGAACCAUAUCUGCCAGGGAGGCAAAUUUGUCGCGGAUGCCUUAGCUCACUUGGGUCUUUCGGUUGAGACUCCUCACAUUUGGGAUCAUGGCUUACCCUCUAUUGCUCUAAAUGCUUUUAGUUUUGACAGUAUUAGAAACGGUUGUUCUCGUGGUUUUUCCCUUUAAUGAAUUUUUUCCAAAGUUCAGGUACUAAAUUUCUUGCAGAAAUCUGAUUUAGUGAAAUUAAAUAUGAA